This is a long non-coding RNA of Cydia splendana, 1092 nucleotides long. RefSeq lists it as uncharacterized. The record is from RefSeq and is a predicted model, not a curated record. Lineage: Eukaryota; Metazoa; Arthropoda; Insecta; Lepidoptera; Tortricidae. The transcript has 2 exons.
UAAAGUUUACUUCUGGUGUGACUCAACUAUAGUAAUUUCGUGGCUAGGCAUGUCUCCGCAUUUAUUGAAGCCUUUUGUUCAAAAUCGCGUUACUCAAAUAAACGAUCUCACUGGUAAUGCGACAUGGUUGCAUGUGAGAAGCGAAGACAACCCUAGUGAUUUAUUGUCUAGAGGCGUUGCUUUAGAUAAUUUAAUUGAUUGUAACUUAUGGUGGUUCGGGCCAUCAGUUUUGCAUGACCCAAAAUCGGAUUUUAUUAAUGACAAUACGAGUAAAAAUACGGCAUUCAAAGAUUUACCCGAGUUACGAUCGACCGCGGUAAGUUUAGUUUGCAAUCAACAAGAUGAAUUAUUUAAUUUCGAUAGAUGUUCAUCUUACAUUAAAUUAAUUAGAAUCGGCGCGUAUGUACUCCGCUUUAUAUUAAACUCACGCAUUAGCUCUGAGCGUAAACAACUCCGCCAAACCGGUUCAUUAUCGGUGGACGAGCUCAGUGCAUCACGUCUUAUGCUAGUUAGAUUCGCGCAGAUGCAAUCAUUUCCGGACGUUUACGAUAAUUUACUUAAAAAUAAACCGCUUAAGACGAAUAGUAAACAAUAUAACCGUAUAUCCGGUCUUAACGUGUUUUUAGACGAUCGUAAUAAGUUAAAAGUGAUUAGAGUCGGUGGUAGAUUGUGUAAUUCCACAAGUUUCGAUUACAACAAAAAACAUCCCAUGUUAUUGUGCAGUAAACAUAAAUUAACGGUGUUGUUAUUCAAUUAUGAACACAAUCGGCUGCUACAUGCCGGACCGCAGCUACUCUUAUCUACUUUGCGUGAAUGUUGGUGGCCUUUAGGUGCGCGAAAUUUGGCAAGGAAGAUAGUUCGAGAAUGCGUUACCUGUAUUCGAAUGAAAGAUCCUACUGAUUUAUCCCCGCUCACGCCCGCCCAUUUCCUAAUUGGUCGGCCGUUGACCUGCCCUGCUAGCGGGGACCUGACGGAUGUGCAGCCUUCCCGCCUGUCUCGCUACGCCAGGAUCGAAGCCCUACGUCAACACUUCUGGCGUCGUUGGGCCACUGAGUACGUUACGGAGCUCCAGCGACGAACCAAGUGGAAGAC